UCUCCGUAGGUGAACCUGCGGAAGGAUCAUUAAUGAAUUUUUGAAAUGGGGUUGUAGCUGGCUUUUAAUCGAGCAUGUGCACGCCCUAUUCAUCCAUUUCUAUAUACACCUGUGCACCUUUUGUAGGUCGGUCGUUACGGGAAAAGCCUUUCGGUUUUUUCUUACACUUCCUUCCUAUGUUUUCAUUAUAAACUCUACGAAUGUCUAUGAAUGUCUUUGCGUAAAUAAACGCAUCAUAAUAUAACUUUCAGCAACGGAUCUCUUGGCUCUCGCAUCGAUGAAGAACGCAGC
RNAcentral lists this unclassified non-coding RNA (291 nucleotides) under uncultured fungus. Its description in RNAcentral is "sequence contains ITS1, 5.8S rRNA gene". The stretch from base 243 to 291 matches the Rfam family "5.8S ribosomal RNA", at positions 1 to 49 of the family's 154-position model. Lineage: Eukaryota; Fungi. The record is from RNAcentral.